This 468-nucleotide ribosomal RNA is filed under the name uncultured bacterium. Its description in RNAcentral is "partial 16S ribosomal RNA". It matches the Rfam family "Bacterial small subunit ribosomal RNA", at positions 28 to 507 of the family's 1533-position model. The record is from RNAcentral.
GACGAACGCUGGCGGCGUGCUUAACACAUGCAAGUCGAACGGAAAGGCCCUGCUUUUGUGGGGUGCUCGAGUGGCGAACGGGUGAGUAACACGUGAGUAACCUGCCCUUGACUUUGGGAUAACUUCAGGAAACUGGGGCUAAUACCGGAUAGGAGCUCCUGCUGCAUGGUGGGGGUUGGAAAGUUUCGGCGGUUGGGGAUGGACUCGCGGCUUAUGAGCUUGUUGGUGGGGUAGUGGCUUACCAAGGCUUUGACGGGUAGCCGGCCUGGGAGGGUGACCGGCGACAUUGGGACUGAGAUACGGCCCAGACUCCUACGGGAGGCAGCAGUGGGGAACAUUGCACAAUGGGCGGAAGCCUGAUGCAGAAACGCCGCGUGCGGGAUGACGGCCUUCGGGUUGUAAACCGCUGUCGCCUGUGACGAAGCGUGAGUGACGGUAAUGGGUAAAGAAGCACCGGCUAACUACGUG